AAACAUUACAGCUGGUUUUGUUUAUUCUGCACAAAAAUCCUUUUUACUGUUAAAAUCAUCACUUUCAGAUUGGAUUGAAGACAUCCAAACUUUGGAGUGCAUUUGAUCAUCAUCAUCAGAUAUAAAACACAAUGCCAAACAUUUGGGGCAAACUGCUUUUAAUUUGCAACACAGAGCAGACAAGCCUGCAGAGAAAGCACUUUACAACUUACAGCACUUACACAGCUGCGCUCGGGACAGAAGAGAGAAGCCAGAGCAGGUUAGAAACACCAGGAGAAAAUCUUACAGCUGCUGUUCUUUAAUAUCAAAAGCAGAAAAAAAUGCACUUUUAGAAAUCACAGUCACGACAUUAGCAGAGCCGGCGCUCACAGGUCGGGCAGCAGAGCAUCUGAGGUCAGUGAAGGAAGCAAACGGACAAAACAACCUGAGUGAAUGAGCAGAGAGCCUGAAGUCACAUCGUAAAGACUUUGCACCUUCACCUGCAGGGACACCCACGGUUGUGUUUUAUAUUUGUACCAUCAGUCAAACAAAGACUUUUACCAUUUUCUCUGGUGGUGAUUGUUUACUUUGUAAGCAUUUAUAGACAGUAGCCAUAACUGAUCUUCAGUGAGAGAAAGAAAAUAUAUGUAGACCACCUGGUCUCUGGAACACAGGAUAUGAAAUCAAACACCAACCAUUUGGUUAAUGUCAGAGUCAAAUGAUAAGAUCAACACAAGUUUACACAGUAGAUCCACUUUUUCUGACAGCUUCAAGUUUGUUGAUGCCAACAUCUGGUUCAGUUUAACCUCUUUUCCAUCAGUGUAGAAGAAACUGCAAACAUUUUCACAGGAAAUAUCACAGCGGCAAGACUGCACACUUCAACGGCCAAUGACUGGUUAAAUGAAGCACCAGAAACCAUAUUAGUGGCUUCGUCUUUGUGAGCAGUAAUUAUGUUUUUCUUCCUUCUGAUCAUCUCCUGAUUACUCCUCAAACAGCAUAAAUAGCACACCGUGUCAGAUUUGUCAGUUGAAUGUGUUAUCUACACCCACAUCUGCUGCAUAUCUGCAAGCUGCUUUGGAACCCACUCUACCCCAGCUCCUCCUGAUUGAUCAAGUCUGAUGUUACAGACACUCUGGCUUUCUGUCUAUGCACACAGAAGAGUGAGGAGGUCCCAGGACAGAGCAAUGAAACCAAAUAAAAACAAACGCAGAUGAAAAUAACAAAUCUCAUUUCUGCUCUAAUGGCCGGGACUUAAAGACAAAUUUAUGCUGUCUUCUUUACCAUCAUCUCGGCCCCAAAAACCUGAUAAAGCCUGACUUUGCAUUUUUAAAAAAAAAUGCAAACACAUAACCCAAAUCUUUUCCCACGAUUGUCCAUCAAAAAUUAAAAACUAAUCAAAUUCAAACAUUUACCGACACAAUAUUUCUGCAAAGUACACGUCUAAGAACUUUUACUUGAUUAUUCUUUUAUAUUUUUCUGUUUCUGUAUGUUCUCAUGACUUCCUCUGUCAUAUGACCUUUCACUGUGGAAACUGUGUCAGAUGUCUGGGUCGCGUAGAAACUUUGUCCAUCCGUGUCAGACAAAAUGACAGAAUAGUCAAAGCUGCUUUUACUCCUACGCUCUCAGUCAAUCACCCAGAUGCCCUGAAAGCUCAAGCCUUAGAUAUGUGUACAUUUCUCAGACCAACAAGGGAGUCGGUCUUUAAACUGUCAGCCAAAUCACUCAGACGUAUACUGAGUUCUCCAAACAAUGUUUUCUCUUUUUUUUUGUCUCAAUCUGAUCUCUGGAAAGUGAAUGCAGUAAGGCACUGCCUCUUCCAUCAGUAAUCCCUCAAUAAAGUCACCAAUGUGUUGAUUUUACUGUAAAUAAAUAGUAGAAACAAUAUUACAAAUUUCCAGGAAUUGGAGAGAAGAAGGAGCUGUCAGUAUCUUGAAUCAGAAAGCAAUAAGAGCUUAGAAUCAAACAAAGACUCGUGGAACACGUAGACGGAUUUGCAGCUUCUUGUCAGCAGCGAGUUUACCCAAGAGCAUCAAAUCUGCUUAGAGUGCAGAUAAAGUUUGUUGUGGCGAUGAGCUGCACUGAGCAGCAGCCACAGCGACUGUGGUUCAAGCCCUCUUAAUCUCAGCUCAACAUUUCAAAUGUACGUUGGCUGUAAAAGUAAAAAACGCAGACAAAAGAUUAAUCUCUGGACUCGGCGUUACAAAUAAUGUCGUGGGCAAAGUGAAAGCAGAGAACCAAUCAGAGCAAACACCUAGAGGAGCACGGGCGCCAUCAGCACAAACUGCUGGUGCGGUGUCGUUGCAUGACGCUGACACAUCAGCUGAUGGAAACACUGUCACAGCUUUAACACCCACUAAAUCCUUUCCCUUCACUAUUGCUGAUCACACUGAUGGCCCACAACAUCUGUCCAGUUGCUGCUCGCCCUCGAACAACAGGGACAAAUGGGGACGGGUCAGGGACACCGGGAGGGGCUGAGGGACAGCAAAGUCAGCUGAGACACAACAGAGUGGCGAGACGUGCUAAUGCUGCAACGUAGCAGCCCCACAAGAAGGAGGCCGGAAUUAGAGCACGACCUUCCAACCGAUGCUGUCGAUAUUCUGCAUUCUGAUGCAGGGCUCGGGUUAAAGACAAAGAAUAAAACUGAAUUUUGUUUAAUGUUUUCUUGUUUCUCAUGGAUGAGCUGAGGUCCAUAAAUACACAAUCACAUCAACAAUACGUGUAAAAAAAAUUGACUUAGCAGCCACCUCAUUUAAAACGUGCAAACUCACAUUCUGAAGCCUCAAACCAAGCAUCGUAGCAGUCUCUGUGCAGGUGGAGCCAGAAGUGCAGAAGUGCAUACACUAGUGUGCUUGAUUAACAAGGUGCACCUGUAGUGGACUCUGCACCUCACAGGCAAGGAGGAUGGGAGAUUUUUAACUGGAGGAGACUCUUGGCAGGACUUUUAAGAUUAAAAGCUGUACAGCUAAGUCCUAUUUUUUUUUUCACUGGAAAUUCUUUGAAAGACACCAACAGCACAGGCGAGAGGUCUGGCUCAGUGACUCCCAAUUACUGGAAGUGAAACCAGCAUCAAAGCGGUCGAGUCCUUAAUUAUCCCCAAAUAACGUUUAAGUCUUCACCCCAUGCAGAGCAGCUCUCGGGGAGGGAACCAAACAAGAGACAAGACAGUCUUUUGUGGCAGGCUUUAAACAUCUGCUGUUAAGUGGGCCAUUUAAUCACAGUCUGCAAGGACUCAGAAGAAGAACUGCAGCAUUGGCUUCAUUUUUCAUCUGCGGAGGUUUUGUGUGUGUGUGAUAGGGUGGCAAAAAUCAACCAUGAAGCACCCAGGGGGUUGUCUUGAUGCACGCUCCAUCAUCCAGGUGAGUAAAUCCCAAAAAGCUGAUUCUGUUCAUCUGGACGUCUUUAGUGGGAGAGACAUUUCGUCAUCAUCCAGGUGACUUCUUCAGUCUCAGCUGACUGCAGGUUUCCUUAAUCCUAUAUUUGUGUAAUGACUGAAACUAGCAGCACUAUGUCCAAAAGAACAUAAUCAACUGUUUGGGACUCCCAGACGGCUGUUUGUUAGAGUAUAUAUGUAUAACUUUAGUCUAAGGUAAAAAGGAUUCCAAUAGGAAGAGUCUGUCUGGUUGUAGCAUUAGUUGUCCACAAUAAUGCAGCACCACGUGCUGGGGUGGAUUAUAGUCUUUGAGCUUCACCUACGUUAAAGAGAUGAGUUCACUGUAGCAGAGGCCGACUGACAGGCACAAACAUCUCCUUCACAGGGGAUGACAGGUUAUAGUUCCUGUAGCUGGGGGUAAGAAUAGAAAGUUGAGAGUAUGCGUGCCCGUGUGGUUGUGGCUCCUACAGUAUCACUAGCCUAACAGGCUGUCCCAUAAGAGGGACAAAAUGUAUACAACCACACCCAGCAGCUGUUCCCUUUUCUCUCCCUGGGGUUAAGAAAUUCACGUCUCAAUAAAAUGUAAAAUGAGUUCUUCAACAAGAAUUCUUUGGCAUCACUUUGGUUUUAGAGUUGUCCGGUUCCUCGACGCCUCGUCUGUGGCAACAAAAGCUAAUGAAGCCACAUGACAUAAAUAUUAAACACAUGUUAAAGCAAAGCAACAGAAACAGCAGUCGUUUAAGAUCUCAGUGACUGGUUCCAGCCUGUAUUAAAUAAAGACGGUGAGCUUUAAAACUCUGUUGUUGAUUUAAGAUUUUCCGGCUUCUAAAGCAGGAAAAGCUGAUGACUUUAAAGCAUCAAAUUAGGACCCAGCUUGGCACUGACUGCUUGCUUUUUUGGAGCAUCCAGUGGAAGCAUUGCUGCCAGGGAGGAGGUGACAGCUGGCACAAAGGAGAGAAUGAGGCGACCGACAAAGUGAGGAAGCAAGUGAAGAGAGAGCAAAUAACACUGAAAGAGUCUCCGCUGUAGACAAAGUGGGUGAAAAAAGGAGAGUAAAUCUUCUUAGGAGCA
Astatotilapia calliptera (eastern happy) is the source of this 4420-nucleotide long non-coding RNA. The record is from Ensembl. Lineage: Eukaryota; Metazoa; Chordata; Actinopteri; Cichliformes; Cichlidae.